Molecule: non-coding RNA, 29 nt
Filed under: Homo sapiens (human)
Lineage: Eukaryota; Metazoa; Chordata; Mammalia; Primates; Hominidae
Source: RNAcentral
UNGCUGUUCACAAAGACAUCUUCGAUGGC